GAUGAACGCUGGCGGCGUGCCUAAUACAUGCAAGUCGAGCGAACGGACGAGAAGCUUGCUUCUCUGAUGUUAGCGGCGGACGGGUGAGUAACACGUGGAUAACCUACCUAUAAGACUGGGAUAACUUCGGGAAACCGUAGCUAAUACCGGAUAAUAUUUUGAACCGCAUGGUUCAAAAGUGAAAGACGGUCUUGCUGUCACUUAUAGAUGGAUCCGCGCUGCAUUAGCUAGUUGGUAAGGUAACGGCUCACCAAGGCAACGAUGCAUAGCCGACCUGAGAGGGUGAUCGGCCACACUGGAACUGAGACACGGUCCAGACUCCUACGGGAGGCAGCAGUAGGGAAUCUUCCGCAAUGGGCGAAAGCCUGACGGAGCAACGCCGCGUGAGUGAUGAAGGUCUUCGGAUCGUAAAACUCUGUUAUUAGGGAAGAACAUAUGUGUAAGUAACUGUGCACAUCUUGACGGUACCUAAUCAGAAAGCCACGGCUAACUACGUG
RNAcentral lists this ribosomal RNA (497 nucleotides) under uncultured bacterium. RNAcentral describes it as "partial 16S ribosomal RNA". It matches the Rfam family "Bacterial small subunit ribosomal RNA", at positions 28 to 507 of the family's 1533-position model. The record is from RNAcentral.